This 75-nucleotide transfer RNA is filed under the name SAR202 cluster bacterium Io17-Chloro-G9. RNAcentral's name for it is "tRNA-Gly". It matches the Rfam family "tRNA". Rfam says of the family: Transfer RNA (tRNA) molecules are approximately 80 nucleotides in length. Their secondary structure includes four short double-helical elements and three loops (D, anti-codon, and T loops). Lineage: Bacteria; Bacillati; Chloroflexota; Dehalococcoidia. The record is from RNAcentral.
GCGGGCGUAACUCAGUGGUAGAGUGCUUGCUUCCCAAGCAAGACGUCGAGAGUUCGAAUCUCUUCGCCCGCUCCA